RNAcentral lists this ribosomal RNA (490 nucleotides) under uncultured bacterium. Its description in RNAcentral is "partial 16S ribosomal RNA". It matches the Rfam family "Bacterial small subunit ribosomal RNA", at positions 28 to 523 of the family's 1533-position model. The record is from RNAcentral.
GACGAACGCUGGCGGCGUGCCUAACACAUGCAAGUCGAGCGCGCAGCCAUCGGUAGCAAUACCGGUGGUGGGCGAGCGGCGAACGGGUGCGUAACACGUGGGCAACCUGCCCCAGACUCUGGGAUAACCCCGGGAAACCGGGGCUAAUACCGGAUACUCCCGGCCGGCCGCAUGAUCGGCCGAGGAACGCGCCGACGGCCUGGGAUGGGCCCGCGGCCUAUCAGCUUGUUGGUGGGGUAGCGGCCUACCAAGGCGACGACGGGUAGCUGGUCUGAGAGGACGGCCAGCCACACUGGGACUGAGAUACGGCCCAGACUCCUACGGGAGGCAGCAGUGGGGAAUCUUGCGCAAUGGGCGAAAGCCUGACGCAGCGACGCCGCGUGAGGGAUGAAGGCCUUCGGGUUGUAAACCUCUUUCGGCAGGGACGAAGCGAAAGUGACGGUACCUGCAGAAGAAGCCCCGGCUAACUACGUGCCAGCCGCCGCCGUAA